RNAcentral lists this ribosomal RNA (616 nucleotides) under Xylaria liquidambaris. RNAcentral's name for it is "eukaryotic LSU rRNA". The stretch from base 241 to 394 matches the Rfam family "5.8S ribosomal RNA". Lineage: Eukaryota; Fungi; Ascomycota; Sordariomycetes; Xylariales; Xylariaceae. The record is from RNAcentral.
UUUUUUGGAAGUAAAAGUCGUAACAAGGUCUCCGUUGGUGAACCAGCGGAGGGAUCAUUAAAGAGUUAUUACAACUCCCAAACCCAUGUGAACUUACCUUCUGUUGCCUCGGCAGGUCGUGGCUACCCUGUGAGGUCCUACCCUGUAGGACCCUACCCGGUGGUCUCGGUUAAGCCUGCCGGUGGCCCAAGAAACUCUGUUAAUUAUAUGUUAUUCUGAAUCUAUAACUAAAUAAGUUAAAACUUUCAACAACGGAUCUCUUGGUUCUGGCAUCGAUGAAGAACGCAGCGAAAUGCGAUAAGUAAUGUGAAUUGCAGAAUUCAGUGAAUCAUCGAAUCUUUGAACGCACAUUGCGCCCAUUAGUAUUCUAGUGGGCAUGCCUGUUCGAGCGUCAUUUCAACCCUUAAGCCCCUGUUGCUUAGCGUUGGGAGCCUACAGUUCGCUGUAGCUCCCCAAAGUUAGUGGCGGAGUCAGUUUAUGCUCUAGACGUAGUAAUUUUUUUCUCGUCUGUAGCCGGGCUGGUCUCCUCGCCGUAAAACCCCCAAAUUUUAAAGGUUGACCUCGGAUCAGGUAGGAAUACCCGCUGAACUUAAGCAUAUCAAUAAGCGGAGGAAUA